This 882-nucleotide ribosomal RNA is filed under the name Didymella glomerata. Its description in RNAcentral is "partial large subunit ribosomal RNA". It matches the Rfam family "Eukaryotic large subunit ribosomal RNA", at positions 50 to 950 of the family's 3401-position model. The record is from RNAcentral. Lineage: Eukaryota; Fungi; Ascomycota; Dothideomycetes; Pleosporales; Didymellaceae.
GCGGAGGAAAAAGAACCAACAGGGAUUGCCCUAGUAACGGCGAGUGAAGCGGCAACAGCUCAAAUUUGAAAUCUGGCGUCUUCGGCGUCCGAGUUGUAAUUUGCAGAGGGCGCUUUGGCAUUGGCAGCGGUCCAAGUUCCUUGGAACAGGACGUCACAGAGGGUGAGAAUCCCGUACGUGGUCGCUAGCCUUUACCGUGUAAAGCCCCUUCGACGAGUCGAGUUGUUUGGGAAUGCAGCUCUAAAUGGGAGGUAAAUUUCUUCUAAAGCUAAAUACUGGCCAGAGACCGAUAGCGCACAAGUAGAGUGAUCGAAAGAUGAAAAGCACUUUGGAAAGAGAGUUAAAAAGCACGUGAAAUUGUUGAAAGGGAAGCGCUUGCAGCCAGACUUGCCUGUAGUUGCUCAUCCGGGUUUUUACCCGGUGCACUCUUCUAUAGGCAGGCCAGCAUCAGUUUGGGCGGUUGGAUAAAGGUCUCUGUCAUGUACCUCUCUUCGGGGAGAACUUAUAGGGGAGACGACAUGCAACCAGCCUGGACUGAGGUCCGCGCAUCUGCUAGGAUGCUGGCGUAAUGGCUGUAAGCGGCCCGUCUUGAAACACGGACCAAGGAGUCUAACAUCUAUGCGAGUGUUUGGGUGUCAAGCCCGAGCGCGUAAUGAAAGUGAACGGAGGUGGGAACCUUUCGGGGUGCACCAUCGACCGAUCCUGAUGUCUUCGGAUGGAUUUGAGUAAGAGCAUAGCUGUUGGGACCCGAAAGAUGGUGAACUAUGCUUGAAUAGGGUGAAGCCAGAGGAAACUCUGGUGGAGGCUCGCAGCGGUUCUGACGUGCAAAUCGAUCGUCAAAUUUGGGCAUAGGGGCGAAAGACUAAUCGAACUAUCUAGUAG